Molecule: long non-coding RNA, 1291 nt
Filed under: Mus musculus (house mouse)
Lineage: Eukaryota; Metazoa; Chordata; Mammalia; Rodentia; Muridae
Description: long non-coding RNA chr15:99408757-99410048
Source: RNAcentral
GCCAGGCACCAGAAGUGAGAGCAGAAGUCUGCAUCCUGCCGAGCCGCCGCAGACGGAGCCCCGCUGCUGACUGGACCCUCUCUGGCCCUGUGGUUCGGUUCUCACAGUUCCAGUGAGACUGGGCAGCGUGUUUGCCUGUCCUGAGGUGCCAGGCCUGCAGAGAGUGGACUCUGGUGGGUGCUUCCUUCCUCUGCUGCCUAACUGAGUCUGGCACAGGCUUUCUGCCUUGCCAUGAGGAGGAGGUGUAGACUUGUGAGUGCUCUCUCCGCUCUGAGUGGCCCUCGGGGAACCACCUGCUUUCCAUCUGUGGGGUGGGGCGCUCGCUCCGAGUAUGUGUGGCAAGGUGGAGGCCACAAUGCCAAGGUUCCCUAGUGUGUUUUUCUUUGUUGGUUCUUAAAAUUAUCAACCUUUGUUACGGAUGGGCCUCCACUAGGUGGCUGUGGGUAAAGUCUUGGGGGGAGGAUAGGAAAGGAGACCGGCUGAGCCUCAGGGCUAAUUGUACUGAGUAAGGACUGCAGCUCCCGGUGACCGCGAGGAGUCGGUGAGGUGGGACUGGUGACUCUCAGAAGCUCCUCGGUGCACUUUUGUCUCGGCAGAGCUGGGAGGGAGCAGGCGCUCGCGGAAGCACGUCACUUACUGGGUUUGUUCACCUGUUUCCAGCAAGUUUUGGUCUUUUGGGCAGAAGCCUGUUGACCAACUGUGGGCCACCACAGUCUGCACAGAAAGGUGGCACCCGGAGUGGUUGUGGCCCUCACUACCAAGCCACGGGCAGCCCAUUUCCAGUAGGAUGGCGGUUUGGAUUUCUUUGCUCAGAGCCAAUGCAGUUGACACAGUGGCUGCUGGGUUACUGUCCCAUGAGACUGUACUGGACGGGUGCAGCCAGAGUGGCGCAGUGCACUAAGGUGCCGGCCGCCCUGCCUGCCCGGUGCCUCCCACUGACCUGAGCUUACUAAGGGAUGGCAGCAGCUCCCCAGAAAAAAACGACACUGCGAGCCCUCGGGACAUGACUGAGUUCCACCUCCUGAAGCCAGACUCCACCUCUUGUGCUUUUUUGCUUGGGAAAAAGGAGUUUUUCUUUAGAAACAGUGCCAAGAAUGAUAUAAACUACUUUUAACUAAGAUGCCUAACAGGCUUUUAACACAGGUGUCCAUCUCCACUCUGUCCCCGGUCUCUGUCCCAGCUCAGGCUGCGUUCUCUAACUCAUACUGUGAAGACAACCGUGUUUUUGAUUAAAAAAAAUAUAUCUACAUAGUCUUAAUUUGUAAAAAAUAAAGAAAAUUCCUUAACCUUU